AGCGAACGCUGGCGGCAGGCCUAACACAUGCAAGUCGAACGAACCUUUCGGGGUUAGUGGCGGACGGGUGUGUAACACGUGGGAACGUGCCCUUAGGUUCGGAAUAACUCAGGGAAACUUGUGCUAAUACCGAAUGUGCCCUUCGGGGGAAAGAUUAAUCGCCUUUGGUGCGGCCCGCGUCUGAUUAGCUAGUUGGUUGAGGUAAUGGCUCACCAAGGCGACGUUCAGUAGCUGGUCUGAGAGGAUGAUCCGCCACAUUGGGACUGAGACACGGCCCAAACUCCGACGGAAGGCAGCAGUGGGGAAGCUUGCGCAAUGGGCGAAAGCCUGACGCAGCCAUGCCGCGUGAAUGAUGAAGGUGUUAGGAUUGUAAAAUUCUUUCACCGGGGACGAUAAUGACGGUACCCGGAGAAGAAGCCCCGGCUAACUUCGU
RNAcentral lists this ribosomal RNA (433 nucleotides) under uncultured bacterium. Its description in RNAcentral is "partial 16S ribosomal RNA". It matches the Rfam family "Bacterial small subunit ribosomal RNA", at positions 29 to 506 of the family's 1533-position model. The record is from RNAcentral.